GACGAACGCUGGCGGCGUGCUUAACACAUGCAAGUCGAGCGGUAAGGCCCUUUCGGGGGUACACGAGCGGCGAACGGGUGAGUAACACGUGGGUGACCUGCCCUUAGCUCUGGGAUAAGCCUGGGAAACUGGGUCUAAUACCGGAUAUGACUCCAUGACGCAUGUUGUGGGGUGGAAAGCCUUGUGCGGCUAGGGGAUGGGCCUGCGGCCUAUCAGCUUGUUGGUGGGGUGAUGGCCUACCAAGGCGACGACGGUAGCCGGCCUGAGAGGGCGACCGGCCACACUGGGACUGAGACACGGGCCCAGACUCCUACGGGAGGCAGCAGUGGGGAAUCUUGCGCAAUGGGCGAAAG
Molecule: ribosomal RNA, 353 nt
Filed under: uncultured bacterium
Lineage: Bacteria
Description: bacterial SSU rRNA
Rfam family: Bacterial small subunit ribosomal RNA
Source: RNAcentral